UACGUAGGGUGCGAGCGUUGUCCGGAAUUAUUGGGCGUAAAGAGCUUGUAGGCGGUUUGUCGCGUCUGCCGUGAAAAUUCGAGGCUCAACCUCGAACUUGCGGUGGGUACGGGCAGACUAGAGUGUGGUAGGGGAGACUGGAAUUCCUGGUGUAGCGGUGAAAUGCGCAGAUAUCAGGAGGAACACCGGUGGCGAAGGCGGGUCUCUGGGCCGAAACUGACGCUGAGGAGCGAAAGCGUGGGGAGCGAACAGG
RNAcentral lists this ribosomal RNA (253 nucleotides) under uncultured bacterium. Its description in RNAcentral is "partial 16S ribosomal RNA". It matches the Rfam family "Bacterial small subunit ribosomal RNA", at positions 524 to 776 of the family's 1533-position model. The record is from RNAcentral.